This 497-nucleotide ribosomal RNA is filed under the name uncultured bacterium. Its description in RNAcentral is "partial 16S ribosomal RNA". It matches the Rfam family "Bacterial small subunit ribosomal RNA", at positions 28 to 507 of the family's 1533-position model. The record is from RNAcentral.
GAUGAACGCUGGCGGCGUGCCUAAUACAUGCAAGUCGAGCGAACGGACGAGGAGCUUUCUUCUCUGAUGUUAGCGGCUGACGGGUGAGUAACACGUGGAUAACCUACCUAUAAGACUGGGAUAACUUCGGGAAACCUAAGCUAAUACCGGAUAAUAUUUUGAACCGCAUGCUUCAAAAUUUGAAGACGGUCUGGCUGUCACUUAUAGAUGGAUCCGCGCUGCAUUAGCUAGUUGGUAAGGUAACGGCUUACCAAGGCAAAGAUGCAUAGCCGACCUGAGAGGGUGAUCGGCCACACUGGAACUGAGACACGGUCCAAACUCCUACGGGAGGCAGCAGUAGGGAAUCUUCCGCAAUGGGCGGAAGCCUGACGGAGCAACGCCGCGUGAGUGAAGAAGGUCUUCGGAUCGUAAAACUCUGUUAUUAGGGAAGAACAUAUGUGAAAGUAACUGUGAACAUUUUGACGGUACCUAAUCAGAAAGCCACGGCUAACUACGUG